RNAcentral lists this ribosomal RNA (338 nucleotides) under uncultured Glomeromycotina. Its description in RNAcentral is "eukaryotic LSU rRNA". Lineage: Eukaryota; Fungi; Glomeromycota. The record is from RNAcentral.
AUCACUUAUCGUGUGCGAACUUGUGGGCGUGCGUGAGUUUCGGCCUCGCUGUUUGCAUGUUUGUGCGUUUUGGGUGUACUUUUUCGUAUGGUAGGCCAACGUCAGUUUCGAUUAUCAUAAAAUGACCGGCGGAAUGUAGCUUCGAUUUCGGUUGAAGUGUUAUAGCCUCUGGUAGAUGUGGUGAUUGAGACUGAGGAUUGCAACGAAUACCCUUUGGGCUAUCCGUCUGGCCUCUGAAAGUUGCUCAGGUGCCGAAAGCGUGCUUACGGUCAUCUAAGAUAACGUUCAACAGGUUAGAACGUGAUUACAUUCGUUAAGGACGUUGGCGUAAUGGUUUU